This 326-nucleotide long non-coding RNA is filed under the name Nicotiana benthamiana. RNAcentral's name for it is "long non-coding RNA (NBEN_LNC001957)". The record is from RNAcentral. Lineage: Eukaryota; Viridiplantae; Streptophyta; Magnoliopsida; Solanales; Solanaceae.
UAACAAAAAUAUUUUAAAAAAUAACUCAAAAAUUGUAACGGAAAGUUGAUUCCUCGUAUAGUAAUGAUGUCGUUUGAAGGGGAACAAAAGGGAUAGAACUUUUGUGAGUAGAAUCCUGUGGGAAGAGUAAAAAGUUAUUAGUGUAAAAGUGGAAUUCCACGUUGUCUACUUCACAUGAAGCAUAUGGGAAACAGUAACUUCUUAUCCUGUGGAUGUUUCAUUGCAGUCAAGGGUGCCUCUCCUUUUCAAUAUCUGCUGGCUUUUCUUUGGAGGAAUUGUCAUAUGAUAUCUGCUAUUGUUGCUUGAAUGAUUCCUGUCUCAUGGGU